AUUGAACGCUGGCGGCAUGCUUUACACAUGCAAGUCGAACGGCAGCACGGGGGCAGCCCUGGUGGCGAGUGGCGAACGGGUGAGUAAUACAUCGGAACGUGCCCGGUCGUGGGGGAUAACGUACCGAAAGUUACGCUAAUACCGCAUACGAUCUGAGGGUGAAAGCGGGGGACCUUCGGGCCUCGCGCGAUCGGAGCGGCCGAUGUCAGAUUAGGUAGUUGGUGGGGUAAAGGCCUACCAAGCCGACGAUCUGUAGCUGGUCUGAGAGGACGACCAGCCACACUGGGACUGAGACACGGCCCAGACUCCUACGGGAAGCAGCAGUGGGGAAUUUUGGACAAUGGGCGCAAGCCUGAUCCAGCCAUGCCGCGUGCAGGACGAAGGCCUUCGGGUUGUAAACUGCUUUUAUACGGGACGAAAAGGAUUUAGCUAAUACCUGGGGCUCAUGACGGUACCGUAAGAAUAAGCACCGGCUAACUACGUG
This 484-nucleotide ribosomal RNA is filed under the name uncultured bacterium. Its description in RNAcentral is "partial 16S ribosomal RNA". It matches the Rfam family "Bacterial small subunit ribosomal RNA", at positions 30 to 507 of the family's 1533-position model. The record is from RNAcentral.